GACGUACAGUAUUUCCAUACCGGAGAGGUCGGCAAAGAUUGCCCAAGAAUGUGAAGGUACUCCUACUUCCUCUGACAUUCCAUCAACAUGCUGGCGACCAUUCCAGGGUGUACUGCACGUCUCGUCCGAAGUCAUCUGGGAUUGGCACCUGUUCACCCACAAC
Long non-coding RNA from Phycodurus eques (leafy seadragon), 163 nucleotides. RefSeq lists it as uncharacterized. The record is from RefSeq and is a predicted model, not a curated record. NCBI's taxonomy places the organism in Eukaryota, Metazoa, Chordata, Actinopteri, Syngnathiformes, Syngnathidae. The transcript is spliced from 3 exons.